AUUGAACGCUGGCGGCAGGCCUAACACAUGCAAGUCGAACGAGUGGCGGACGGGUUAGUAAUGUCUGUGAAUCUUCCUGAUGGAGGGGGAUAACUACUGGAAACGGUAGCUAAUACCGCAUACCAUCAGAUUGGCCCAGAUGGGAUUAGCUAGUUGGUGGGGUAAAGGCUCACCAAGGCGACUAUCCCUAGCUGGUCUGAGAGGAUGACCAGCCACACUGGAACUGAGACACGGUCCAGACUCCUACGGGAGGCAGCAGUGGGGAAUAUUCGGCAAUGGACGAAAGUCUGACCGAGCAAUGCCGCGUGAGUGAAGAAGGUUUUCGGAUUGUAAAACUCUGUAAUUAGAGAAGCGGUAUCUAACCAGAAAGCAACGGCUAACUACGUGCCAGCAGCCGCGGUAAUAC
Molecule: ribosomal RNA, 406 nt
Filed under: uncultured bacterium
Lineage: Bacteria
Description: partial 16S ribosomal RNA
Rfam family: Bacterial small subunit ribosomal RNA
Source: RNAcentral